CACGUCUUAUGUCAAUCACACUAAAUUCUAGCAGGUCCAAGGUACAGAAGUUUCUGAUGUAACUGAGAUAGAGAUCAUCAAUUGUAGUAGAUGAUCAAGUAGAUGUAUUUAUUCAACAUGACAACAACAUAAGAAGAGCACUCGAACUGAGUACUCAUUACAUGCUUCCCCCGUUGAUUCUACACCAAUUCAAAGAGAAGCCGCACAAGUCUUUUACACAUAUAGGAAAUCAACCAUCAAAGGCAAACACAACAUAACAUAUUAAGGUAAUAAUAUAGGUGUCACGGAUCCUGUGUCACACCCUGAUUUAUUUAGCAUUAAUUUUUGACCUCAUCUCCGGAUGUAGCUUCAGGGGUCUCCUCAGCAGGUGGACAGCAUCUUUGGCAAUGUCCAUGGUACCAGCGGCAGCAACCAUGUCUGCAACGAUCUGCGGUUACGGUAUCCUCAUUUCCUGAUUUAGCUUCAGGGGUCUCCUCAGCAGGUGGACAGCAUCUUUGGCAA
Molecule: long non-coding RNA, 501 nt
Filed under: Coffea arabica (coffee)
Lineage: Eukaryota; Viridiplantae; Streptophyta; Magnoliopsida; Gentianales; Rubiaceae
Description: long non-coding RNA (CARA_LNC002490)
Source: RNAcentral